This 75-nucleotide transfer RNA is filed under the name Syntrophorhabdus sp. PtaU1.Bin153. Its description in RNAcentral is "tRNA-Pro". It matches the Rfam family "tRNA". From Rfam's summary of the family: Transfer RNA (tRNA) molecules are approximately 80 nucleotides in length. Lineage: Bacteria; Pseudomonadati; Thermodesulfobacteriota; Syntrophorhabdia; Syntrophorhabdales; Syntrophorhabdaceae. The record is from RNAcentral.
CGGAGCGUAGCGCAGCCCGGUAGCGCACCUGAAUGGGGUUCAGGUGGUCGGGGGUUCAAAUCCCCCCGCUCCGAC